UACGUAGGGGGCUAGCGUUGUCCGGAUUUAUUGGGCGUAAAGAGCGUGUAGGCGGCCAGGUAGGUCUGCUGUGAAAACUCGAGGCUCAACCUCGAGACGUCGGCGGAAACCAUCUGGCUAGAGUCCGGAAGAGGAGAGUGGAAUUCCUGGUGUAGCGGUGAAAUGCGCAGAUAUCAGGAGGAACACCAAUUGCGAAGGCAGCUCGCUGGGACGUUACUGACGCUGAGGUGCGAAAGCGUGGGGAGCGAACAGG
This 253-nucleotide ribosomal RNA is filed under the name uncultured bacterium. RNAcentral describes it as "partial 16S ribosomal RNA". It matches the Rfam family "Bacterial small subunit ribosomal RNA", at positions 524 to 776 of the family's 1533-position model. The record is from RNAcentral.